AACGAACGCUGGCGGCAGGCCUAACACAUGCAAGUCGAGCGCGCCCUUCGGGGUGAGCGGCGGACGGGUUAGUAACGCGUGGGAACGUACCUUUCGGUAAGGAAUAGCCUCUGGAAACGGAGAGUAAUACCUUAUACGCCCUUUGGGGAAAGAUUUAUCGCCGAGGGAUCGGCCCGCGUUAGAUUAGAUAGUUGGUGGGGUAACGGCCUACCAAGCCGACGAUCUAUAGCUGGUUUGAGAGGAUGAUCAGCCACACUGGGACUGAGACACGGCCCAGACUCCUACGGGAGGCAGCAGUGAGGAAUCUUGGACAAUGGGGGCAACCCUGAUCCAGCCAUGCCGCGUGAACGAUGAAGGCCUUAGGGUUGUAAAGUUCUUUCAACGGUGAAGAUAAUGACGGUAGCCGUAGAAG
This 412-nucleotide ribosomal RNA is filed under the name uncultured bacterium. RNAcentral's name for it is "bacterial SSU rRNA". It matches the Rfam family "Bacterial small subunit ribosomal RNA", at positions 29 to 487 of the family's 1533-position model. The record is from RNAcentral.